This 1074-nucleotide long non-coding RNA is filed under the name Vulpes vulpes (red fox). RNAcentral describes it as "lncRNA (ENSVVUG00000028020.1)". Lineage: Eukaryota; Metazoa; Chordata; Mammalia; Carnivora; Canidae. The record is from RNAcentral.
CUCGCGCCGCCCUCCCCUCCCGCCGGCGGGCUCCAAUCCCCACGUUCCCCCGCUCCCCGCCCCUCGCCCCCGCCCGCUCCCUCCCGGCCUCCCCGCCUUCUCCGGGGCUCUGGCCGCGGAGGGACGCGGGGACGGGAAGGCCGGAGCCCGGAAGGCCGCGCGCACGGUUCGGAGGGCCCCGGGUCCCCGCGCCCCAGGCAGACGAGGACGCCCCGCGCCGGCCCCGGGGCCCAGGUCGCGACCCCGGGACCCCUGGGACCCCUAGGACCCCCGGGACCCCCGGCGGCCCAGCAACCCUCGGCGCUUGCUGGAGCCGGGGCUGGAGCUUGGAGGGGCUGGAGCGGGGGCUGGAGCCAGGGCUGGAGCUGGGGUGCUGGAGCUGCAGCUGCAGCUGGAGGUAAAUCUGGAGCUAGAGCCGGGCCUGGAGCCGGGGCUGGAGCUAGGGCUGGAGCCAGAGGCUCUAGGAGCUGGAGCCAGGGCUGGAGCUGGAGCCGGGACUGGAGCUGGAGCCAGGACGAGCUGGAGCCAGGGCUGGAGCUGGAGCUGCUGGAGCUGGAGCUGGAGGUGGAGGUAAAUCUGGAGCUAGAGCCAGGGCUGGAGCCGGGGCUGGAGCUGGAGCUGCUGGAGCUGGAGCUGCUGGAGCUGGAGCUGCUGGAGCUGGAGUUGGAGCCUGCACUUGGAGCUGGAGCUAAACCUGGAGCUGGAGCCAGAGCCAGAAGUAGAGCUGGAGCUGGAGCAGCUGGAGGUGGAGCCAGAGCUGGAGCAGCUGGAGGUGGAACCAGAGCUGGAGCUGGAGCUGGAGCCGGAGCUGGAGCCGGAGCUGGCGCUGGCCCUCCCUCCCUCCCUCCUGAGCGCACAGAAAGCCGUCCUCAGGGCUCAGGGACGGGCUCAGGGACGCGUCCCCUCGGCACUGACCCCCGUUCCUGUGCAGCGUGGGGACCCAGUGCCAGGGAGCAUCCCAUGGGCCCUGGCGUGAUUUGGGUCUCCCUGGAGGGGAAGCUGGAAGGAAGGGACGGAGGUCUUUCUAGAAACUCUGCAUCUUCUCCCAUUCUCAGAUUCCACAUGGGUCCCUAG